GACUACUGGGGUAUCUAAGCCUGUUCGCUCCCCACGCUUUCGUGCCUCAGCGUCAGUUACAGUCCAGAAAGCCGCCUUCGCCACUGGUGUUCCUCCUAAUAUCUACGCAUUUCACCGCUACACUAGGAAUUCCGCUUUCCUCUCCUGCACUCUAGUUCAGCAGUUUUAAAUGCAACUCCCGAGUUAAGCCCGGGGAUUUCACAUCUAACUUACCAAACCGCCUACGCACCCUUUACGCCCAGUAAUUCCGGACAACGCUUGCCCCCUACGUAUUACCGCGGCUGCUGGCACGUAGUUAGCCGGGGCUUCCUCCUAGGGUACCGUCACUUUCUUCGUCCCCUAGGACAGAGGUUUACAAUCCGAAAACCUUCUUCCCUCACGCGGCGUUGCUGGGUCAGAGUUGCCUCCAUUGCCCAAUAUUCCCCACUGCAGCCCCCCGUAGG
This 443-nucleotide ribosomal RNA is filed under the name uncultured Eubacteriales bacterium. RNAcentral's name for it is "uncultured Clostridiales bacterium partial 16S ribosomal RNA". Lineage: Bacteria; Bacillati; Bacillota; Clostridia; Eubacteriales. The record is from RNAcentral.